CCGCMUGGGGAGUWCGAMCGCAAGGUUGAAASUCAAAGGAAUUGACGGGGACCCGCACAAGCGGUGGAGCAUGUGGUUUAAUUYGAAGCAACGCGAAGAACCUUSCAAAUCUUGACAUCAUKUGACAACUUUAGAGAUAGAGCCUUCCCCUUCGGGGGACAAAGUGACAGGUGGUGCAUGRUUGUYGUCAGCUCGUGUCGWGAGAUGUUGGGWUAAGUCCCGCAACGAGCGCAACCCUUAAGYUUAGUUGCCAUCAUUAAGUUGGGCACUAUAAGUUGAMUGCCGGUGACAAACCGGAGGAAGGUGGGGAUGACGUCAAAUCAUCAUGCCCCUUAUGAUUUGGGCUACACACGUGMUACAAUGGACAAUACAAAGGGCAGCGAAACCGCGAGGUCAAGCAAAUCCCAUAAAGUUGUUCUCAGUUCGGAUUGUAGUCUGCAACUCGACUACAUGAAGCUGGAAUCGCUAGUAAUCGUAGAUCAGCAUGCUACGGUGAAUACGUUCCCGGGUMUUGUACACACCGCCCGUCACACCACGAGAGUUUGUAACACCCGAAGCCGGUGGAGUAACCU
This 572-nucleotide ribosomal RNA is filed under the name Staphylococcus aureus. RNAcentral's name for it is "partial 16S ribosomal RNA". The record is from RNAcentral. Lineage: Bacteria; Bacillati; Bacillota; Bacilli; Caryophanales; Staphylococcaceae.